Molecule: ribosomal RNA, 497 nt
Filed under: uncultured bacterium
Lineage: Bacteria
Description: partial 16S ribosomal RNA
Rfam family: Bacterial small subunit ribosomal RNA
Source: RNAcentral
GAUGAACGCUGGCGGCGUGCCUAAUACAUGCAAGUCGAGCGAACGGACGAGAAGCUUGCUUCUCUGAUGUUAGCGGCGGACGGGUGAGUAACACGUGGAUAACUUACCUAUAAGACUGGGAUAACUUCGGGAAACCGUAGCUAUUACCGGAUAAUACUUUGAACCGCAUGGUUCAAAAUUGAAAGACGGUCUUGCUGUCACUUAUAGAUGGAUCCGCGCUGCAUUAGCUAGUUGGUAAGGUAACGGCUUACCAAGGCAACGAUGCAUAGCCGACCUGAGAGGGUGAUCGGCCACACUGGAACUGAGACACGGUCCAGACUCCUACGGGAGGCAGAAGUAGGGAAUCUUCCGCAAUGGGCGAAAGCCUGACGGAGCAACGCCGCGUGGGUGAUGAAGGUCUUCGGAUCGUAAAACUCUGUUAUUAGGGAAGAACAUAUGUGUAAGUAACUGUGCACAUCUUGACGGUACCUAAUCAGAAAGCCACGGCUAACUACGUG